AUAACUGGUGUAAGGAGGACUGAGUUUAGAUUCACAGCUCUCUGUUUCAGUGAUUUUGUAGCGUCAGGUGUUUGUACACAGGAUCCUCAUCAGUCCAGCAAACCACCUCCCUCAUGGUAUCAAAGCUUCCCUAAUCUAACAUGAAGGUCAAUAAAACCCGACCUGAGGAACUGAGCUGUUCCGUACCUCCUCGUCUCCUCCAUCCUCCGGCCUGUGACCUCCUCCUCCUCCUCUAUAAAGUCUCCAGUCCUUCAGGUCUCACACACAAACAUUUGAGUGCUAUUCCAAAUGGAUUUCCCAAAAGGAAAAACCACACUGAGUGGAAGAAGUUACGCUACAAAGAGGCACCAUCACCCUGGUGAGAUGGUUUAGUGUGGCUUCAGCUACCGUCCUCAGACUCUGCAGAAGCGGGAGAGGGAAACAUGCUGCUCUCGUCCAUCUCAUCACUUUCUUGAUUUUUUUCAGGUCCAUGAGGGAGAGGCAGAAACUCAGCUGAGACGAUGUUUGAAUGUUUCCUGGUAAAUUCACACAGUGAAGAGUCACUGCUGAACCACUGGAGGAAGAGGCGGAGCAACAUCUGAAAGAACUUCAGCUUCAAAACCCACAAGUGAAAGUUAAAGUAGGAACUGCAGCUCAGAGAUGUGUUUGUCUUCAAAGGAGCAUCAAAGUGAGCUCAUCCUCGUCCUCAACAGCAGAGCUUCUGUCCAACACUGAGUGCAGACAUGUCUGCUGCCAGCUGUCUUCUAUCUGAAGAUCAGUUUCUGUGCUCCAUCUGUCUGGAUGUGUUCACUGCUCCAGUCACCACACCAUGUGGACACAACUUCUGCAGAACAUGCAUCACUCAGUACUGGGAGGAUAAAUUCCCAUACAAGUGUCCUCUGUGUAAGAAGGAGUUCUACACCAGACCUGAGCUGCACAUCAACACUUUCAUCUCUGAGAUGGUUGCUCAGUUCAAACAUGAAG
Archocentrus centrarchus (flier cichlid) is the source of this 963-nucleotide long non-coding RNA. RefSeq lists it as uncharacterized. Lineage: Eukaryota; Metazoa; Chordata; Actinopteri; Cichliformes; Cichlidae. The record is from RefSeq and is a predicted model, not a curated record. The transcript has 4 exons.